Molecule: long non-coding RNA, 1068 nt
Organism: Calidris pugnax (ruff)
Lineage: Eukaryota; Metazoa; Chordata; Aves; Charadriiformes; Scolopacidae
Exons: 3
Source: RefSeq, a predicted model, not a curated record
UGCUGUGUAAUCCACGGGGGGAAAAAAAAUAUCUGUGAUUUGCAAUUCGGAAUAAAGAUCUGAAUAUCAAAAUUUUGGGGUUGUGGCAAGAAAAGUUGAAAGGGGAACCCCAUCCCAGAGCCCACUGUUCUUGUUACUCUGUCUGGGACAGAGUCCGUCUUGCUUAGCGAAGGGUUCAGAGCCUUGACACAACUCAAGUGAUCGGGGGAAAGCGUGCUGCAGGGAAGGCUGAGCUCUUGGGAUCCUCUGCUAAUUGGUUUCAUUAACUUUAGGGCUUUGGAGAAUUACAUCUGAGCUGAUCAAGGAUCAGUGAGCCAGGGGCAGUCAAGAGUCGGUGAGAAAGUGGAGAGGUGCCUGAAGCCUCAGCCCUUGCACACCCUGACACGCGCAGCAGGGAUCGCAGACCAUGAGGGAAGGUCCUAAGAGAAGAGAGCCCUGAAGGAGCAGCCCUGCAGCUCAUCCCCGCAGAGAAAACCGAGGGCAGCCAGCACCAUAAGAAGGAAGUGGUCUCAAGUCUACCGGGUUCCAGUGUGGCUUUAGGUUCUGAAGAUAAAUAAAAGAAAGUCUUUCAAGGUGAAGAUUGGCCCUUUACUGAAACGGCAAGAUUGACAAGACUACAAAUUUAAACCAUUUAGAAAAGUAAUCCUCGAAGCAGAGGAGGAAAUAACUCCCUGGUCGGUGUGUCCUCUGGAGGGAAGCACAGAAGAGACAAAGAUAAGAGUGGCCGUGUCUACAUACCUACAGGCCCUGUGUAACGUGCACGUCCAUCUGGUAAAAGUGAGAUAUCACUAGAUGACGUAGAAGAGUUAGACUCUCUCUCCUCACCUGCUCUUACUGGAGGGGCCCUUCCUCACGCUAUGCUAUUACCCAUUCACUUUUAAUGAAAUCGUCAUCUCCAGCCACGUAAAACGCACGGCCUCAGCUUAGAUUUGUUCAAGUUUAAACCGCAUCGAACUUCCUUUGUAUUGCAACAGAAGAAGAUUUAAGAGGAUGUCACCGAGUAGUUGAGCCUCGUUCCCUUUGGUACUUGCACAACCUUAACAUGAAAUAAAUAAAAUAAAGCAUGCU